RNAcentral lists this ribosomal RNA (448 nucleotides) under uncultured bacterium. RNAcentral's name for it is "bacterial SSU rRNA". It matches the Rfam family "Bacterial small subunit ribosomal RNA", at positions 330 to 793 of the family's 1533-position model. The record is from RNAcentral.
CCCAGACUCCUACGGGAGGCAGCAGUGGGGAAUAUUGCACAAUGGGGGGAACCCUGAUGCAGCGACGCCGCGUGAGUGAAGAAGUCUUUCGGUAUGUAAAGCUCUAUCAGCAGGGAAGAAAAUGACGGUACCUGACUAAGAAGCCCCGGCUAACUACGUGCCAGCAGCCGCGGUAAUACGUAGGGGGCAAGCGUUAUCCGGAUUUACUGGGUGUAAAGGGAGCGUAGACGGCAUGGCAAGUCAGAUGUGAAAGCCCGGGGCUCAACCCCGGGACUGCAUUUGAAACUGUCAGGCUGGAGUGCAGGAGAGGUAAGUGGAAUUCCUAGUGUAGCGGUGAAAUGCGUAGAUAUUAGGAGGAACACCAGUGGCGAAGGCGGCUUACUGGACUGUAACUGACGUUGAGGCUCGAAAGCGUGGGGAGCAAACAGGAUUAGAUACCCCAGUAUAA